RNAcentral lists this long non-coding RNA (357 nucleotides) under Hordeum vulgare. RNAcentral describes it as "long non-coding RNA (HVUL_LNC009258)". Lineage: Eukaryota; Viridiplantae; Streptophyta; Magnoliopsida; Poales; Poaceae. The record is from RNAcentral.
UACGAUGCCCCGGGGGACGUCGUAGUUGACUCCCGGCAGCCGUCUGGCUGGCGUAGCCGGUUGGUCAGAGGAGCCGGCCGUGGGCGGAAUGGGAGCAGGCGGCCUGGGCGGGCAGGCACCCCGCUCGACUUUGCGUCUUUGGGGUACCUGGGGAUCAUUCCCCCGACAACCUACUGGUCGAAUUCUUUGCCAUUUUCGUCAGUGCAGAGGUGGCCGUUGGUAGGCAUGGGAGUCUUGGCGCCUUUGCAUUCAUGCAUGUUGAAUUUCCUCAUAACAUCCUUGAGGUAUUUCUCCUGUGAUAUGAAGAUCCCAUUCGUUGUUGACGAAUUUGAAGACCUAAGAAUAAUUUCAGCUCCC